Molecule: long non-coding RNA, 457 nt
Filed under: Homo sapiens (human)
Lineage: Eukaryota; Metazoa; Chordata; Mammalia; Primates; Hominidae
Description: HSALNT0220145
Source: RNAcentral
GUCCCGAUCAGCUUUUGAGCAUGUUCUGAUGUUCUGAAACAAAAGAUGUUCCAGGAUCACCUUGUGCUUCCCUUGACCCAGCCCUGGAAUCAACCAUUUCUCCGUGGGAUCCUGCUUUUGUCUUUUGACUAUGGUGUUUAGACAUGGAAGCCAGGGUGCAGGGUGACGCACCUACAUGGAAUGAUGAGCUGUGGAGUGUGUUUAGGACAGACUCCCACCCAAUGCAGAAAUAUUUUAAAUGGAUUCAUUUUUCAGGUAAUACCAAUUUAACUUUUAAAAUUAACUCUAAAUCCAGUUUAUCCCUCAGUAAUGUAAUAUACUGAAAAAAGAAAGAGACUGAUCCUGAAUCAAUGUAUGACUGAUCUGUGAUUUGAUAGCCUCUCAAAUCAGACAAGAUACUAUAAACAGCAAAUGUUAAAAAACCCUUAAGAUUCAGUAAAAUGUAUUUUUAUGCCCA